RNAcentral lists this ribosomal RNA (498 nucleotides) under uncultured bacterium. RNAcentral describes it as "bacterial SSU rRNA". It matches the Rfam family "Bacterial small subunit ribosomal RNA", at positions 29 to 524 of the family's 1533-position model. The record is from RNAcentral.
AUUGAACGCUGGCGGCGUGCUUAACACAUGCAAGUCGAUCGGUAACAGGUGUAGCAAUACAUGCUGACGAGAGGCGGACGGGUGAGUAAUGCUUGGGAAUCUGCCUAUUAGUGGGGGACAACCCGGGGAAACUCGGGCUAAUACCGCAUACGCUCUACGGAGGAAAGCCGGGGACCGCAAGGCCUGGCGCUAAUAGAUGAGCCCAAGUCGGAUUAGCUAGUUGGUAGGGAACGGCCUACCAAGGCGACAAUCCGUAGCUGGUCUGAGAGGACGACCAGCCACACCGGAACUGAGACACGGUCCGGACUCCUACGGGAGGCAGCAGUGGGGAAUAUUGGACAAUGGGGGCAACCCUGAUCCAGCGACGCCGCGUGGGUGAAGAAGGCCUGCGGGUGUAAGCCCUUUCGGUGGAGAAGAAAAGUCUCGACCUAAUACGUCGGGACCUUGACGUAACCCACUAAAGAAGCNCCGGCUACUCUGUGCCAGCAGCCGCAUAAU